GAUGAAGAACGUAGCGAAAUGCGAUAAGUAAUGCGAAUUGCAGAAUUCAGUGAAUCAUCGAAUCUUUGAACGCACAUUGCGCCCGCCAGUAUUCUGGCGGGCAUGCCUGUUCGAGCGUCAUUUCAACCCUCAAGCACAGCUUGGUGUUGGGACUCGCGUUAAUUCGCGUUCCUCAAAUUGAUUGGCGGUCACGUCGAGCUUCCAUAGCGUAGUAGUAAAACCCUCGUUACUGGUAAUCGUCGCGGCCACGCCGUUAAACCCCAACUUCUGAAUGUUGACCUCGGAUCAGGUAGGAAUACCCGCUGAACUUAAGCAUAUCAAUAAGCGGAGGA
This 332-nucleotide unclassified non-coding RNA is filed under the name soil metagenome. Its description in RNAcentral is "partial contains 5.8S ribosomal RNA, internal transcribed spacer 2, and large subunit ribosomal RNA". The stretch from base 1 to 120 matches the Rfam family "5.8S ribosomal RNA", at positions 35 to 154 of the family's 154-position model. The record is from RNAcentral.